RNAcentral lists this ribosomal RNA (451 nucleotides) under uncultured bacterium. RNAcentral describes it as "partial 16S ribosomal RNA". It matches the Rfam family "Bacterial small subunit ribosomal RNA", at positions 29 to 523 of the family's 1533-position model. The record is from RNAcentral.
AACGAACGCUGGCGGCAGGCCUAACACAUGCAAGUCGAACGGACGUAGCAAUACGUUAGUGGCAGACGGGUGAGGAACACGUGGGAACAUGCCCUUUGGUUCGGAAUAACUCAGGGAAACUUGAGCUAAUACCGGAUAAGCCCUUAUGGGGAAAGAUUUAUCGCCGAAGGAUUGGCCCGCGUCCGAUUAGCUAGUUGGUGAGGUAAUGGCUCACCAAGGCGACGAUCGGUAGCUGGUCUGAGAGGAUGAUCAGCCACAUUGGGACUGAGACACGGCCCAAACUCCGACGGGAGGCAGCAGUGGGGAAUAUUGGACAAUGGGCGCAAGCCUGAUCCAGCCAUGCCGCGUGAGUGAUGACGGCCCUAGGGUUGUAAAGCUCUUUCACCCACGACGAUAAUGACGGUAGUGGGAGAAGAAGCCCCGGCUAACUUCGUGCCAGCCGCCGCAGUAA